AAAAAAAAAUGCCACGAUUAUCUAAAGAUAUCGUCAAUAUAAUGGCUGCUUCAAAAACAAUGAUGCAGACAUUGAAAAAUGCGUCCGUGGGCGUUGUGGGCCAUCUCAGCACAUUUCAGCAUCUCUAAGCACUGCUCGCUUUCGUUGUGUACCAGGACGACACAGAACGACAAAGUGACUCUGGCGUAUGCAGCCUCUUUCUGGUUGUACUCUUCACUGGCGGUCACGAAAUAGGGACGCUGGACAGAGCCUCCACUAGAGCAGCAACGUUUGUCCGAUUUUGGCUCUUUCAUGUUUCUUUCGUUCUUUCUUUUACGAUGAGUAGAUAAAGACGAACGCCAGUUCCUGUCUGCCGUUUUUUUGCUGUUCUCUGGGCUCCUUGAUCAACGUACAGAAGGAGGCUAUAGCCCUACUGCAAUGUCGAAGCGACCCCCUUGAGUAAAGUGUGCUUUGACACUCGGUCGGUCGGUCAAUGAGAAACAGACGGAAAAAAGGGAAGGACAUCAGGCGAAAGAAGAGUCUGCAGGUGCUCGACUAGGACAGGGUAGUAGGACACAAGCUGACGGCCAAAUCCAAGAGGGCAACUUGUCGUGGUAAACAAAGAGCUAUGCCGAGUACGCCGAGAGAUACCGAAUGGCAAAUGGAACGAAGAAAAUCUAAAAGAACGAGAACGUUGAAAACCAAAGGGAUCACCGGAUCGCCUUUGAGACCGCAGAAACAGCCGCUGUCACCACGAUCAAAGUCUUCGCACUAUACGAGCGCUGACGAAGCCUCUGAAUAAGAAAACGGGACUGUCCAUAAGUCCACCGUAGUUGUCCUUAAUCCACACGGAAAGGCAAAACGAACCGCGAAAGCGGAAAUAGUGAAAACGGCACAAUUCAAAACGGGAAAAAGCAGAACAAAUUACUAACAACCGCGUAGCGAGAAGAAGACCUAAACAAUGGAUGACAGAAAUAAUAUACAGGAUAUAUAUAUAUAUAUAUAUACAUACUCAUAGUUAAUAAUGAUGAUUUGAGAGUAAUAAAGGACAGCUGAAAAUUCUAUUGAGACGCAAAAGAUGAUCGUAUAGUGGGCAUCGUUGCAGAACGAUAACAAUACUGAUAACAGCAACGGCUUGCGAAGGCUAAUAGAGUUAUGAAUAGGAAAGGCUAUGAGGAGUAUAAUUUAGAACGAAUGUGUGGAAAAUGGCUUGUUACAAUCCGUUAUUAAGGCAAGAAGGCCGAAAAGGCGAUCUUGAGUCGACCUAAAUAAAUGUCUUGCAGUUAAAUGAAAUAUUGCCAACAGUAAUGACGUUCCUACCCAUACUAUAUGUCUUCCUUUGGUUUUCUUUUUUGUACUUGCACAUUUCUCCUUGUUAAGAGACAGCUGGCAUGUUGCUCGAUACAAAAGUUCUGUGAUUCCUGCCUAGCAAGUGUAUAGAUAAUACAUUUAUCGAACAGGCAGCGUGCUAUUUUACUUUAUACACCUACCUAGCUCUCAUAUCAUUGCGAUAUGGAUCAUGAUCAUUUUGCCCUAUUAUUUGACUCCAAGCUGCUUCCCAAUUUGACCCCAGGAUAGUCUGGCCCAAUCAACUGGGGAGUAUUAUUCCGUUCUUGUCCAAAACAACUCUCAAAGUUCAAAGAUUCGAAAAAAAUGUUCCUCAAUUGACGGCCAGCAAACAAUGUAUCGUGUUAUAAUACUGACAGGUGUCUCGAACGUUAGAUGGAGCCGCAAGUGGAUAUUUUCUUGAUGCAGGUAGCACCCCUUCGUGGCUUGUUCGCACAAAACUGCAGAAUUGCUUUCCGAUAUUGGCGUUUGUAAAAAUAGAAGCGUCGAUUAUAUUCAUUCUUUUUAAUUGUUUAUCUUUUGUUUCUUUGCUAUUAAAGGCGCGAGCUUGUUAAGCUGUCUUUUCUAGAGAUGCUUCGAUAUCAGACGACGUUUUAUACGCUCCUGGCACAGACACCGUAAUUUCCUGUUCAUCAUCGACGACUCCUAUAGAACUAGUACAAAUAUGGCACCCAUUUGUACUUGCAGUACAGGUUCUUAGAGCUUGCAAUGAGAGGUACGGAACCGAGCUUGCCGUUGCACCUUUAACCAUGAUUCGAAUGGACGU
RNAcentral lists this long non-coding RNA (2092 nucleotides) under Varroa destructor (honeybee mite). RNAcentral describes it as "uncharacterized LOC111255317". Lineage: Eukaryota; Metazoa; Arthropoda; Arachnida; Mesostigmata; Varroidae. The record is from RNAcentral.